GAUCAACUUGCCGAUAUUCUCACCAAGCCCUUGGGUACCUCCCGUUUUAGGUUCCUAAGGGACAAGCUGAAGAUUCGUGCUCCCGAUUCUUCAUCUUGAGGAGGUGUAUCAGCACACACUCAUUCCAACCCAACAUUCUAUUUUGGCUUGCACUCUUAUUUGGCUCUUUUCUAUGUUUAGCAAGUCAACACAUAUUCAUAUUUGGCUGGCACUCCUAUUUGGUCUUUCUCCUUGUUUAGCUAUUCUACAUUUGGUUUCUCUUUACUUAGUAUGUAAUCGAGAUAUUCCUUCUUCUUGUAAUUGCUACAAUAGCUAGACCUUGUAAUCUAUAUAUACUCCUAUUGGAGAACAAUGAAAAGUAAGAAUCAUAAAUUAUCCUCAAUAAAGAUAUUACCUUCUUUACUCCACAACUAUAGCAAAGAUUAUUUUUGGUGCGAUAAGCAUGCUCAGCAGCAGAUAGUUGUUUAACAGAUAAGUGUUGAGAUGGU
Molecule: long non-coding RNA, 488 nt
Filed under: Elaeis guineensis (African oil palm)
Lineage: Eukaryota; Viridiplantae; Streptophyta; Magnoliopsida; Arecales; Arecaceae
Description: long non-coding RNA (EGUI_LNC020825)
Source: RNAcentral